GACGAACGCUGGCGGCGUGCUUUACACAUGCAAGUCGAACGGUAAGGCCCUUCGGGGUACACGAGUGGCGAACGGGUGAGUAACACGUGGGUGAUCUGCCCUGCACUUCGGGAUAAGCCUGGGAAACUGGGUCUAAUACCGGAUAGGACCACUGCCUGCAUGGGUGGUGGUGGAAAGCUUUUGCGGUGUGGGAUGGGCCCGCGGCCUAUCAGCUUGUUGGUGGGGUGAUGGCCUACCAAGGCGACGACGGGUAGCCGGCCUGAGAGGGUGACCGGCCACACGGGGACGGGGAUACGGCCCAGACUCCUACGGGAGGCAGCAGUGGGGAAUAUUGCACAAUGGGCGCAAGCCUGAUGCAGCGACGCCGCGUGAGGGAUGACGGCCUUCGGGUUGUAAACCUCUUUCAGCACCGACGAAGCGCAAGUGACGGUAGGUGCAGAAGAAGGACCGGCCAACUACGUGCCAGCCGCCGCCGCCG
RNAcentral lists this ribosomal RNA (478 nucleotides) under uncultured bacterium. Its description in RNAcentral is "partial 16S ribosomal RNA". It matches the Rfam family "Bacterial small subunit ribosomal RNA", at positions 28 to 523 of the family's 1533-position model. The record is from RNAcentral.